GCCAGCCCGCUCAGAAACUCAAAGUGAAUUGACGGGGGCCCGCACAAGCGGAGGAGCAUGUGGUUUAAUUCGAUGAUACGCGAGGAACCUUACCUGGGCUCGAACGUAAGAUGACUGUAGGUGAAAGCUUACAUCUCUUCGGAGCAUUUUACGAGGUGCUGCAUGGUUGUCGUCAGCUCGUGCCGUGAGGUGUCGGGUUAAGUCCCAUAACGAGCGCAACCCCUACCUUUAGUUGCCAUCAGGUUAAGCUGGGGACUCUAAAGGAACUGCCUACGCAAGUAGUGAGGAAGGCGGGGAUGACGUCAAAUCAGCACGGCCCUUACGUCCAGGGCUACACACGUGCUACAAUGGCCGAUACAGAGGGCAGCUACCUGGUGACAGGAUGCAAAUCUCCAAAGUCGGUCUCAGUUCGGAUCGGAGUCUGCAACCCGACUCCGUGAAGUUGGAUUCGCUAGUAAUCGCGCAUCAGCCAUGGCGCGGUGAAUACGUUCCCGGGCCUU
This 500-nucleotide ribosomal RNA is filed under the name uncultured Sphingobacteriales bacterium. Its description in RNAcentral is "bacterial SSU rRNA". It matches the Rfam family "Bacterial small subunit ribosomal RNA", at positions 903 to 1382 of the family's 1533-position model. Lineage: Bacteria; Pseudomonadati; Bacteroidota; Sphingobacteriia; Sphingobacteriales. The record is from RNAcentral.